GUUCAUCUAUCUAUAACUAUAUAUUUUUCUUAAGUUCUUAUAAUUCUAUAAAGUUGGGGAGCAUGUGCCAAUUGAAUAUGUAAUUUUUCAUAGCACUAUUGCAUUUGCACCUAUGUGCAAAAUAUUUGAAGACUUGAAUGCAGAAAAAAAAGUUCUCUGUGGCAUUAUGACUUGCUCUUAGAUAGAUAACAUUGAGGAGGCUGUGAAUGUGAUGGUAAACUAGUGUGCAUGAUGCAUUGUCUACUAAUGACUCUGCAUUUUCAGGUAUACAAAUGCUCACUCGGAUUUCUUUUGUGCCUGCUGAAAAUGGUGGUGGAAAUGUUCAUUCUGGAGCACCUCCGCCUUGGUUUGAAACAACUGAGGGAGUUCAGAUGCAUCCGAAGCCUGUUUUAGGAGACCUUGUCUCCCAUUCAAACAAGUCAGGGAAGCACAAAAAGUUGAAUCCUAAACGCGUUGGAGCUGCUUGGGCAGAAAAGAGAAAGAUUGAAAUGGAGAUGGAAAAGAGGGGAGAGACUGUGAGGAACGAAUGUGAUGCCAGCUGGCUUCCUAAUUUUGGUAGAGUCUGGCAAUCUGGCAGCAGAAGAGAAUCCAGAAAAGAAUUUGAAAAGGAGAAACAAGAGUUGUCAAAUGUUGAAGCUCAACCUGAGAUGCCAAUCAAGAUACAACCUUAUGUUAGCAAAAGAAUGGUGCGUUUUACAUUCUAAAUAUUAUGGGUUUGAUUUGUUUCAAAACUGUCUGUCAAAACCAGUCUGCUUUGUGCCUGACCGAGCCCAAGCUUGGCAUGUUUGGUAUAUGGGUUGCAAAAUGGGCAGAGUCAGGGGCGGUUGGUUUCAUAUCAAUGGGGUAGCAUUUGCUACCCCAAAAGAAAAAAAAAAUCUUGAAUAAUGUAGUAUAGUUUUGUAUGUAGCUACCCCAUUGAUAUAUUAUUUGGCUACUCCAAACAAUUUUUGUUGGUUUAAAGAAGGAUGAUAUCAAUAAAAUAUAGAUAAUCUAUUUAGUUUAGUAUCAAUUAUAGAUAAAUUUGACUUAAAACUUCAUAGAGCACAACUUUUAUAAAUAAUUAUUGUUAGAUUUUAUUUUCUUUACUGUCGUUUCAUUAAAUAUAAGUAAAAAUUAUCGUUAUUGAUUAAGUUCAAUAUAUUAGUUUUUAAAAUAUAUAUAUAUUUUUUGUAUUUGGCCUCCUCAUAAAUAUUGUGCUAGCUUCGCCGUUUUGCAGAGUACUUCAGACUGAUCAUACCACCAUGUCUAGAAUGGUGGUAUCAAUUGUAUACAGAUAAAACAAAUGCAUUUAAUUGGGCAGAUGCGGGUAGAUGAACUUCAGACUGAUCAUACCACCAUGCCCGACCCAACCCGCAAAAAACCGGAGGAAACAACCCGAUAUGUGCGGGUUAUAGCGGGUUAACGGGUCUACGGGUUAUAAACACGGGUAUUUAAGAGUUUAAUUGGGCAGAUGCGGGUAGAUGAACUUCAACCGCGGGUACCCGAACCCGCCCGCGAAUACAAAUAAUUUAUGGGAAUUGAUGAUAAUCAAAUGCAUUUAGGGAGUAAUAACUACUUUCAUUUGCGGUGCAAGUUUUUUAGCAAUAUAAUAACACCUUUGGUUGACCAAUUCAAUACUAUUUUAUAUCACAUUUAUUUUUAUUUACUACUAGGAUUUUACUUUGUAGUUAUUUCCUUUUAUGUUUUCCAUUGAAACGUUACAGCAAAACAUCAUCUCUCUCACGGCUUCUUCACCACCACCAUGCUCCAUCAGUAUCAAUUACUUUUCUUCAAACAUUAACACCAUGUUCUGUUAGUCUCCCUUAUUUUUCUUUUGACUACGUCCCUCCUCUUUUCUCUUCUGCAUCUUCUUUUACUUCUCAAAUCUCAGUUUUUAUUUCAAUUUUCAUUUUCUUCUUGAUGUUUUGUUGGUUGAUGAAUGAUGUAGAUCUGAGGUGAGGCUACUGUUUUUUCAAAUUUCUAUUAUGAAUCUUCUCAACCCGCGUGAACCCACCCGUAAACCCGCAACCCGAAAGACCCGAACCCGUGCAAACCGAAGAAGAAAAGCUAGCUUAAAUGGGUCUGUACACACAAACCGCGGGUUGAGCUGGGUCGAGCUUUCAGACCCGAACCCGCCCGUUGUCCACCCCUAGACUAGGUGGUACCCCAACCAUUAAACAAUUCAAAAAUGAUGAGUAACCCAGUAAUAGCGACUCAAAAGUUUAUUUGAGAUAAUCUGAUCGAAAAAGCACAAAACUCAGGAGCUGUGUGCUGCUUCGCCCUUGCAUUGCAUCAGAUACAAAUUGGAGUCACAGUGAACUCUCCUGGCCGGAAAACACACCAGAGUUGUCCGUGUAUCAGAAACUGUGAGGAAUUCCUUCUAAAUUUCCUUUUUUUUUUUAAUAAAUUAGAAUUUUCCUUCCCUUCUCCUGUAGCAUGCGAUUCCACCGCGAUGGUCACCCCUCAAAAGGCAACGCACUAAUGAUUGAAUUGCGUCGCAGAAAGAAAGAGAGGGGAGGGGCUUACGAUUGAAAAAGGUGCCUGGGAGAAUCUGAUUCCUAUUCAAAUCAUUGUUGUUUAAUGAAUAGUUGAAUACGUUUGCUCAAUUUCUGAUACUACCCUUAUUCACACACUUAUUGUUUCUUCAACUUUUCUUAUGAAACCAAUGUACUGGGUUACUCAUCAUUUUUGAAUUGUUUAAUGGUUGGGGUACCACAUACAAUAGAAAAGAUGACCUGUAUGUUCUGCAGUAAGGAGAGUAUAUGAGAUGGAGGAUAUUUAGAUCACUAGAGACAAAGACCUAGAAAAACUAUAUAAUAUGGUUUAUGAUAGAACAUUAUGGCAUGAUUUGAUCCAUGUAGCCGUCCCCACUUAGUGGGAUAAAGCUUGGUUGUUGUUGUUAUUUUCUUAUUUAUUUUUUGAAUGGUGUUCUUGUUGUUAUUGAUUGCUGUUGUCGCACCAUAUGAAAAAAUAAAAAAAGUUAUAGUCCAUUCGAGUUUUAAUUAGAAAAAACUCAAAAUUAAACCCAUAGUAAAUAAGUAAGGUGCUGAAGCUUGCAAUAAUUGCAUCUAUAGUUCAAUAUUUAUCUGUUUUUCUAAUUUUGUAACUGGCUGUUGGAGUUAUCAGCUUUUAGGCUUUACGAGCACUUCCCAUGGCUAAUGUUGGGCUGGUUGAGUAGUGCGGCCUUGCCCAAUAUAGACUCUGCCAUUUGGGACUUUAUUGUCAUUGUUACUUUACCAUUCAAACCAUUGAAAUGACAUUCUUGUCUACAUGAGAAAGUGUGAAUGAUAAGUUAAAUUCACCAUGGUGUUUUCGUUCGUAGGGACAGCCGAAAGAGAAUCCAUUUAUAAUGAGGGAGCAAUCUGAGAACAAGAGCAAGAGUGCCAAGCCUAAAACAGGCACAAAGGAGAAGAAGAAAAGUGAGUUUGAGUUCUGCAAGGUUUGCAAAAUAAAUCAUGACCAAGGUCUUCGCCACAAGUAUUUCCCUAAGCACAAACAAUCCCUUUCCACCUUCCUCUCUCGCUUCAAAAACAAACUCUCCGAUGUUCGCUUCUUCCUCAAAACACCUUCUCCUCUUACUCCUCAACUUGCUUCCGGCAAUCGCUUCUGGUGUGUUUUCUGUGACCAAGAUAUCGAUGAGCACUCCAGUUCUUUUGCCUGGUAUCAAUUUUUUGUUUUCAAUUUAUGAACUAUUGUCCAGGUUUUCUUUAGCUAAAUUGUAAUGAACGUUCUCUUGUUCUCGAGGCAGUGAAAAUGCGAUUCGUCACCUAGCAAGUGUAGAACAUGUGAAUAAUUUGAAGCACUUCUUUUGGAAAUAUGGUGGCACAGUGGAUCAGCUGGAUGUGUUUACAGUUUCUCAUAAUGACGUUGCAAAGGUGCCAUAUAAAAUCUUAUGUCUGUUUUUUAGGGGAUUUUUUUUUUUUUUUUUAUAUAUAAAAUAACUCAUUAUAUAGAAUGCAUUUGCUCAUUAAGUUACAAAAAAGCAUUUGCUCAUCAUUUGUCAUUUCUUUGCUAGUGCAGUGGGACAAGAGGUGCGCAAACCUUAAAAAAGAAGCUUCAUUGCAAAGUGAGGAAAGUCCUGGAGCAGUUUUUGGACCUUCAAGUGAUAUCCAUAAUCAAUCGAACAAUGAAAAUAUUGAUAGUUUUAAAAAUAAUAUUUAUUCCAAUUCUGUGAACUCGAAUGUUGUUUUGCCUUUACACUGCUACACAAAUGAGUAUCAGGUAUCCUCUUCAGGUCACUCUGGAGUUGGAAAUACCGGCCUUUUAGAUAUUGGUAAAUCUUCUUUACCUUCGGAAGCAUGCUCCAGUGCGAAUACCCUUGCUUUGCAGGAUUUUGCAGGUAUGCUUACCCUGUCUAUUGGAAAUGUCAUUCCUUAUUCUUUACAAUUAUCGGUCACUUGCGGGAUUUGUUAAAAAGUUGAGACUUAUCUUCCGUGUGCUUAUGCUUUGUGUCUCAGCUGAACGGAGAAGUCACAAACUCCCUUAUAAUAGUGGACAAUGGUCAAGUGAUGGAUACUCAUGUAAUAAAGCGGUAAGUCUAUGUGUUGGGGGGAAGAGGGGAGGGUUUCUUAGGCUUUGACUCUUCUGCUUGAGAAUCUAACUAUUGAGUUUCAGACUUUCAGCAAUUGUUGGUUGAUGAUUUCAUUGGUUUGUAAGAUCAAUGUAUCUAAAGUUUUUCCUAAAGUUAUCUAAAAUUUUCUUGUCUUCAUGAUCAAGGAUUAUAGUUUGCUUCUCGCAAUGCAUGCUUGUAUAUUUUAUAAUCUCUAAUUUCUAUUUUCACAUUAUUCUGAUUGUUGCUCCCCUCUUGCUCUGUAGCUUUCUAAUGUCUAAUUUAAACACUGAUAAAGGCAUUGCAUUUCUUAUGAAUAUAGCAGGUUCUUGAUAAUGGUAAAGUGGUCAGCGGAGAGAGUGGUCCGCAAGGUGUUCAUCUAUCUAUAACUAUAUAUUUUUCUUAAGUUCUUAUAAUUCUAUAAAGUUGGGGAGCAUGUGCCAAUUGAAUAUGUAAUUUUUCAUAGCACUAUUGCAUUUGCACCUAUGUGCAAAAUAUUUGAAGACUUGAAUGCAGAAAAAAAAGUUCUCUGUGGCAUUAUGACUUGCUCUUAGAUAGAUAACAUUGAGGAGGCUGUGAAUGUGAUGGUAAACUAGUGUGCAUGAUGCAUUGUCUACUAAUGACUCUGCAUUUUCAGGUAUACAAAUGCUCACUCGGAUUUCUUUUGUGCCUGCUGAAAAUGGUGGUGGAAAUGUUCAUUCUGGAGCAC
RNAcentral lists this long non-coding RNA (5237 nucleotides) under Medicago truncatula (barrel medic). RNAcentral's name for it is "long non-coding RNA (MTRU_LNC008391)". Lineage: Eukaryota; Viridiplantae; Streptophyta; Magnoliopsida; Fabales; Fabaceae. The record is from RNAcentral.